UUUGUCCUGGGGAAAGGAGGUAGGCGGUGAUCUUAGGCAAAUCCGGGAUCACUUACGCCGAGCACCGAGACGAGUCCUAUGAGGACGAAGUGACUGACACCACGCUUCCAGGAAAAGCCACUAAGCUUCAGCUUAAGAAAAACCGUACCGCAAACCGACAAAGGUAGGCAGGGUGAGAAUCCCAAGGCGCUUGAGAGAACUCGGGUGAAGGAACUAGGCAAAAUGGCACCGUAACUUCGGGAGAAGGUGCGCCCUUUGGUGUGGUCACGUGCGUGACUGAGCAUCGAAGGGUCGCAGUAACCUGGCCGCUGCGACUGUUUAUCAAAAACACAGCACUCUGCAAACACGAAAGUGGACGUAUAGGGUGUGACGCCUGCCCGGUGCUGGAAGGUUAAUUGAUGGGGUCAGCCGCAAGGCGAAGCUCUUGAUCGAAGCCCCAGUAAACGGCGGCCGUAACAAUAACGGUCCUAAGGUAGCGAAAUUCCUUGUCGGGUAAGUUCCGACCUGCACGAAUGGCGUAACGACAGCGGCGCUGUCUCCACCCGAGACUCAGUGAAAUUGAAAUCGCUGUGAAGAUGCAGCGUUCCCGCGGCAAGACGGAAAGACCCCGUGAACCUUUACUAUAGCUUUACACUGAACGUUGAGUUCUUCUGUGUAGGAUAGGUGGGAGGCUAUGAAACCAGGACGCUAGUUCUGGUGGAGCCAUCCUUGAAAUACCACCCUGAAGUGCUUGACGUUCUAACCUAGGCCCGUAAUCCGGGUCAGGGACCGUGUAUGGUGGGUAGUUUGACUGGGGCGGUCUCCUCCCAAAGAGUAACGGAGGAGCACGAAGGUACGCUCAGCGCGGUCGGACAUCGCGCACUGUGUGCAAAGGCAUAAGCGUGCUUGACUGCGAGAUCGACGGAUCAAGCAGGUACGAAAGUAGGUCUUAGUGAUCCGGUGGUUCUGUAUGGAAGGGCCAUCGCUCAACGGAUAAAAGGUACUCCGGGGAUAACAGGCUGAUACCGCCCAAGAGUUCAUAUCGACGGCGGUGUUUGGCACCUCGAUGUCGGCUCAUCACAUCCUGGGGCUGUAGCCGGUCCCAAGGGUAUGGCUGUUCGCCAUUUAAAGUGGUACGCGAGCUGGGUUCAGAACGUCGUGAGACAGUUCGGUCCCUAUCUGUCGUGGGCGUUGGAGAUUUGAGGGGGGCUGCUCCUAGUACGAGAGGACCGGAGUGGACGUUCCGCUGGUGUUCGGGUUGUCAUGCCCAUGGCAUUGCCCGGUAGCUACGAACGGAAGUGAUAACCGCUGAAAGCAUCUAAGCGGGAAGCACGCCCCAAGAUGAGAUCUCCCGAGAGCUUGACUCUCCUAAAGGCACCAUCAAGACUAGGUGGUUGAUAGGUCAGGUGUGGAAGCGCAGCAAUGCGUUGAGCUAACUGAUACUAAUGAGCCGUGAGGCUUGAUC
RNAcentral lists this ribosomal RNA (1444 nucleotides) under metagenome. RNAcentral's name for it is "bacterial LSU rRNA". It matches the Rfam family "Bacterial large subunit ribosomal RNA", at positions 1501 to 2925 of the family's 2925-position model. The record is from RNAcentral.